RNAcentral lists this ribosomal RNA (622 nucleotides) under Archangium sp. Its description in RNAcentral is "bacterial SSU rRNA". It matches the Rfam family "Bacterial small subunit ribosomal RNA", at positions 55 to 660 of the family's 1533-position model. The record is from RNAcentral. Lineage: Bacteria; Pseudomonadati; Myxococcota; Myxococcia; Myxococcales; Archangiaceae.
AUGCAGUCGAGCGCGAAUGGAGCAAUCCUAGUAGAGCGGCGCACGGGUGCGUAACACGUGGAUAAUCUGCCUGGGUGUCUGGGAUAACCAGUCGAAAGAUUGGCUAAUACCGGAUAAGCCCCCGGGAGCUUCGGCUCUUGAGGGAAAAGGUGGCCUCUGUAUACAAGCUAUCACAUCCAGAUGAGUCCGCGGCCCAUCAGCUAGUUGGCGGGGUAAUGGCCCACCAAGGCAACGACGGGUAGCUGGUCUGAGAGGACGAUCAGCCACACUGGAACUGAGACACGGUCCAGACUCCUACGGGAGGCAGCAGUGGGGAAUUUUGCGCAAUGGGCGAAAGCCUGACGCAGCAACGCCGCGUGUGUGAUGAAGGUCUUCGGAUUGUAAAGCACUUUCGACCGGGACGAAAACCCGUUGGCUAACAUCCAACGGCUUGACGGUACCGGGAGAAGAAGCACCGGCUAACUCUGUGCCAGCAGCCGCGGUAAUACAGAGGGUGCAAGCGUUGUUCGGAAUUAUUGGGCGUAAAGCGCGUGUAGGCGGCUUUGCAAGUCGGGUGUGAAAGCCCUCAGCUCAACUGAGGAAGUGCGCCCGAAACUGCAGAGCUUGAGUGCCGGAGAGGGUG